Schistosoma curassoni is the source of this 46-nucleotide non-coding RNA. The record is from Rfam. Lineage: Eukaryota; Metazoa; Platyhelminthes; Trematoda; Strigeidida; Schistosomatidae.
CCACUGCUGAAGAGUCCCAUACUAGGGCGAAACGGCCGUACAGUGC